GAUAUGUAGCUCAGGUGGUGGAGCGACCGGCUGUUAACCGGUAGGCUGAAGGUUCGAGUCCUUCCAUAUCC
This 71-nucleotide transfer RNA is filed under the name bovine gut metagenome. It matches the Rfam family "tRNA". From Rfam's summary of the family: Transfer RNA (tRNA) molecules are approximately 80 nucleotides in length. Their secondary structure includes four short double-helical elements and three loops (D, anti-codon, and T loops). The record is from RNAcentral.